GUUUGCACCGAGCCUUUGCCGAAUGAUUUUUCACCGAUAACAAUGGCGCGGUGAUGGUCUUGCAAAGCACCGGCAACAAUUUCAGAGGCAGAAGCCGAGCCUUCGUUAAUAAUAACCACAAUCGGCAAUCCGGCGGCAAUGUCACCGGCCUGCGCCGUGUAUUUUACGGUAUCUUCUUCAUUGCGGGAGCGGGUGGAAACAAUUUCGCCCUUAUCUAAAAAUAAAUCUGAAACCGCAACCGCCUGAUCAAGCAAACCGCCCGGAUUGUUGCGA
This 273-nucleotide non-coding RNA is filed under the name human gut metagenome. The record is from RNAcentral.